This 253-nucleotide ribosomal RNA is filed under the name uncultured bacterium. RNAcentral's name for it is "partial 16S ribosomal RNA". It matches the Rfam family "Bacterial small subunit ribosomal RNA", at positions 524 to 776 of the family's 1533-position model. The record is from RNAcentral.
UACGGGGGGAGCAAGCGUUGUUCGGAUUUACUGGGCGUAAAGGGCUCGUAGGCGGCCAACUAAGUCGGACGUGAAAUCCCCAGGCUCAACCUGGGAACUGCGUCUGAUACUGGAUGGCUUGAAUCCGGGAGAGGGAUGCAGAAUUCCAGGUGUAGCGGUGAAAUGCGUAGAUAUCUGGAGGAAUACCGGUGGCGAAGGCGGCAUCCUGGACCGGCAUUGACGCUGAGGAGCGAAAGCCAGGGGAGCAAACGGG